UGCGGGGUGGAGCAGUCUGGUAGCUCGUCGGGCUCAUAACCCGAAGGUCGUUGGUUCAAAUCCAGCCCCCGCAUCCA
RNAcentral lists this transfer RNA (77 nucleotides) under Acinetobacter parvus. Its description in RNAcentral is "tRNA-Met". It matches the Rfam family "tRNA". Rfam says of the family: Transfer RNA (tRNA) molecules are approximately 80 nucleotides in length. Their secondary structure includes four short double-helical elements and three loops (D, anti-codon, and T loops). Further hydrogen bonds mediate the characteristic L-shaped molecular structure. tRNAs have two regions of fundamental functional importance: the anti-codon, which is responsible for specific mRNA codon recognition, and the 3' end, to which the tRNAs corresponding amino acid is attached (by aminoacyl-tRNA synthetases). tRNAs cope with the degeneracy of the genetic code in two manners: having more than one tRNA (with a specific anti-codon) for a particular amino acid; and 'wobble' base-pairing, i.e. permitting non-standard base-pairing at the 3rd anti-codon position. Lineage: Bacteria; Pseudomonadati; Pseudomonadota; Gammaproteobacteria; Moraxellales; Moraxellaceae. The record is from RNAcentral. RNAcentral also lists the same sequence under 11 other names.